GCUGGGUCCCUUCCGCCCUGGCGCGCUCCUCCACCAGCCCGCGGCUGCGAGCUGGGCAGCGAGAUCCACAGCACAGGGCUGGCGCGGAAAACACCGUCCUGAAGGCUGCUGCUGCGGGUGCUCUUGGAGCGACUUGUGGCUGUCGCCACUUGGUCCCCACAGACUCAAGAGGACGCUACCACCCGGACCGGACUCAGGCAUCCGGAGCACCGCACUCUUCCGAGAACUGCCUACCUCACGUGCCACCUCCGGGUUUCCUUCGCAAAGUCAGCCAAGAUGUAGAAUUUGGAAGUAGCUCUGAGUUGAGCGGAACCUCAGAAGAUGGAAGCAGCGGCCUCAGCCUCUUACGGCUUCAAGAGCCACUGCGGGAAGGAGCCAGAGGGCUUCCUCGGGCCCCGGAUUAAAAUAGAUGCCAGCGGCCGCCCUAAGGCCCGGCAGCCAAUCAGCCUGGUGGGUGGGAUUGGGCAUGGGCAGCUGGAGCGGUUGCGAAACAGGAGAUACUUCCAGGCUUACCCUGAUUUUUUUGAGAAGGGCGCUGGUUCCCUCAGACAUUUACAUAGACUUGUCUUUACGUGUUCAGUGGGCAGUGUGUUCACACCGGGAUUGAAGUCGCUCAACUGUGAAAUGACAUGGGAACGUUCCAGUGUGUUCACACCAGGAUUGAAGUCAAUAAACUGUGAAGUGACAUGGGAACGUUCAAUGGCCUCACACCUCGGAGUCUCAAUCCUUACUGAUUUGAUCCCCUGAAUCCACAGGUGCAAGAGAGAGCCAACUCCUGAAAGUUGUCCUGUGACAUCCACACUUGCAACAUGACAUAGGGUACAUGUGGAUGCCAGAAGACAAACAGAUGUCUUUUCUCAGGAGCUGUCCAUCUUGUUUUCUGACAGUUGUUCUUUGUUAACUAGGGCUCACUGUGUAGGCAAGUCUGGCUGGCCAGCAUCUAUCUCUCUCUACCUCCCAGUACUGGGAUUAUAAGCACCCCCCUCAUACCCUGACUUUUUAUGUGGAUGCUGAGGACUGAAUCAAAUUCUUAUUCUUGUUGGGCAAGCACAUUACCAACUGAACUGAAUCUCCCCGGCUCCUACUGGUACUUCUUAAUGCAUAUUAAUGAACCAACUAAUGGGUUUCACUGUAGAAUAGAUAGAUAGAUAGAUAGAUAGAUAGAUAGAUAGAUAGAUAGAUAGAUAGAUUAAUUAUACAUAGAAAUCACACACACACACACACACACACACACUUCCUGCAGUGUUUAUGCUGACCAUCACCUCUCUUUUCCCAACCACCAUUCCCUUACCUUUCCUCCCCUUCCAACCACUAAUAAACCCCUUUCUUCUGUU
Mus musculus (house mouse) is the source of this 1334-nucleotide long non-coding RNA. RefSeq annotates it as predicted gene 5106. NCBI's taxonomy places the organism in Eukaryota, Metazoa, Chordata, Mammalia, Rodentia, Muridae. The transcript is spliced from 3 exons. The record is from RefSeq and is marked validated.